AAUUAACGCUGGCGGCGCGCUUAACACAUGCAAGUCGCACGAGAAAGGGAGCAAUCCUGAGUAAAGUGGCGCACGGGUGAGUAACACGUGGGUAUCUACCUUUUUGUGGGGAAUAACUUGGGGAAACCCGAGCUAAUACCGCGUAAGCUCGAGAGAGGAAAGCCGAAAGGCGCAGAAAGAGGAGCCCGCGGCUGAUUAGCUAGUUGGUGAGGUAAUGGCUCACCAAGGCUUAGAUCGGUAGCCGGCCUGAGAGGGCACACGGCCACACUGGCACUGAAACACGGGCCAGACUCCUACGGGAGGCAGCAGUGGGGAAUCUUGCACAAUGGAGGAAACUCUGAUGCAGCGACGCCGCGUGAACGAUGAAGCCCUUCGGGGUGUAAAGUUCUUUCGCCAGGAACGAUAAUGACGGUACCUGGAGAAGAAGCUGCGGCUAACUACGUGCCAGCAGCCGCGGUAAUACGUAGGCAGCAAGCGUUGUUCGGAAUUAUUGGGCGUAAAGAGUAUGUAGGUGGUGUCGUAAGUUUGGUGUGAAAUCUCCUGGCUUAACUGGGAGGGUGCGCCGAAGACUGCGAUGCUUGAGUAUGGGAGAGG
Molecule: ribosomal RNA, 594 nt
Filed under: uncultured bacterium gp3
Lineage: Bacteria
Description: bacterial SSU rRNA
Rfam family: Bacterial small subunit ribosomal RNA
Source: RNAcentral